This 1128-nucleotide long non-coding RNA is filed under the name Oryza sativa (Asian cultivated rice). Its description in RNAcentral is "long non-coding RNA (OSAT_LNC001271)". The record is from RNAcentral. Lineage: Eukaryota; Viridiplantae; Streptophyta; Magnoliopsida; Poales; Poaceae.
ACGCAAACUGUCACUGGAUUACUGGAAAGAAGCAAAAAAAUUCAGAUCUCCACAAUCACAAUCGCAGAUGAACAGCUUCUCUUACAGAGAAGAGACACAAUGAGAAUUGCUGACAGAUAACUCCAGGUAAUAGAAUUAUGGAAACAUUGCUGUCCAGUACAAUCAAUUACUCCCAUGACAAAGAUCAAGAGAAGUACAUUGAUUAGUUUUUUUUCUCUCUUACUAAAGGAAACUAAACAACUUAAAUAGAUGAGAUGACAGCAGUGAGAGCCAAAGACGCUUUCUCCUCCUCCAUCAGUCGAUCGCCUAUGGGAUUACUUGGAUCUCUGCCUCAUCUUUCGGCGCUUCCUCUUGAGCCGCCUCAUCCUCUUCUUCUUCCACUGCGUACCAGAGCAAAGAAUUUUAGCUAAACAGAAGCAAAAACUUGCAAGGAAACACGAAAUCCCCCAAAAUGCAGUCGGUACACAGAAAACUCUGGCUGCUCAUAUCUUAGAUCAGGCCAUCAGGGCAUAACAGAGACAGUUUUUUUUUCGCAGCAUCUCACAUAAGGCAAGGCGUGCUUAAUCAAAAUGACCGCAAAACUGGACACAAAUCACGGAAUUAUGAAAGAAAAUUUUAGCAUUCAGAAUGAGUAGGAGGAAUUUCUCAUCCAGUGGAUCAGUUAGAAACGAUUGAUUUCCUCAUCAUGCCAAACCAAUCCGGAAAAAAAAAAGGUAUACAAUCACUCAAUCAAACAACAUUUUAACACGGUAAUCCUCUCAGAUAAAUGCUUCGAUUGACCCCAUGUCCACAACGGAACGGAUAAGAUUUUACUAGUAGUAAACUUGUUUGCUAACCAGCGAGAACCAUACAUACAUACACAAAUAAGAGAACACCCACAAAAUCAAAACAAGAUCCAUCCAACGUGAGAGUUGAGGAGGAGGAGUCACUCACCUUGGCCCUCAUCGCGGCGGCGCGCCGCUCACCUCUGUCCUUCCUCUCCCUCCCUGACGGCGAGCUCCAAGGUCUGGAGAAGAAGCGGCUCGGUUCGGCGGCGGCGGCGCGAGCUUGGGACCUCGGUCUUAUAUGCGGCGCCCUUCUGAUAACCCUAGGUAGGAUGCGGUGUUGGGCCCGAUAAAAGCUCAUGGG